GUGGAUUAUCUACACCCGGAGUUGAUUGUCGAGAUGAUCCUGUUGGUCGAGGUGCAUCAGGAAGUGGGCAGGUUACAUCUUUACAUUCGUAUCUGCAAAACGAUCUUAUCUUUUCGUAAAGGUACCAUUUCCUUUCAGUUGACAUACCCUUUGGUGGUAAUAUAUUAGGUAGUUCAUCUUCCAUUAUUUGAGCGUACUCCUUCAGCAAAUUGAAUUUUGUGACUGGGCCAUCUGCAGCUUGUCUGGCUGCAACUACACCAGCAAAGUAACUACACCAGUCAAGUGUUUCUACAAUGAGUUCACCAUUGCUACUUCCUACUGGUUGGGCUUUGUUCACAGCAGAUGAUUGUUCUACAACUUGAAUGAAGUCAUCCAAUGAGUCCACCUCUGCUUUACGGAAUUUUUGCUUUAAUAGUCCAAAGCACCAGUCUGGAGAAGAUUUUGUGUGUCCAACUGGCUCAAACGAUAUUGAAAUGGACGCAUUGAGUCCUGCCAUGACUCUCCAUAAGAGUUGUCAGCAUUGAAAUGGAUACUGACUGAGUUGAGGCCAUGAUUCUUCAAAUAAAAAUGUACCAUGCUUAUGACAGGAUUUGCCCCUUUACCAGUGUCGAAUGAUUCAUCAAUCAAGAAAUUAACCUGCUGAGCGAUAGCUUCACAGCACACACCAAAUAUGCCACAUUUCCUGGGAGUAAGAAAAUAAAUUGGACCUGCUUGUAGUGGACUUGAAUGAUAGU
Long non-coding RNA from Amphimedon queenslandica, 734 nucleotides. RefSeq lists it as uncharacterized. The transcript has 3 exons. The record is from RefSeq and is a predicted model, not a curated record. Lineage: Eukaryota; Metazoa; Porifera; Demospongiae; Haplosclerida; Niphatidae.